This 253-nucleotide ribosomal RNA is filed under the name uncultured bacterium. Its description in RNAcentral is "partial 16S ribosomal RNA". It matches the Rfam family "Bacterial small subunit ribosomal RNA", at positions 524 to 776 of the family's 1533-position model. The record is from RNAcentral.
UACGGAGGGUGCGAGCGUUGUCCGGAAUCACUGGGCGUAAAGGGCGCGUAGGUGGCGCGGGCAGUCAACGGUGAAAGUUCGGGGCUCAACCCUGAAUCGGCCGUCGAUACUCCCGUGCUUGAGCACUGUAGAGGCAGAUGGAAUUCCGGGUGUAGCGGUGGAAUGCGUAGAGAUCCGGAAGAACACCGGUGGUGAAGGCGGUCUGCUGGGCAGUAGCUGACACUGAGGCGCGACAGCGUGGGGAGCAAACAGG